Long non-coding RNA from Rhea pennata, 2626 nucleotides. RefSeq lists it as uncharacterized. The transcript has 4 exons. NCBI's taxonomy places the organism in Eukaryota, Metazoa, Chordata, Aves, Rheiformes, Rheidae. The record is from RefSeq and is a predicted model, not a curated record.
ACAACAGUACUAUCUAAGUGGAUAGGAGAGGAAAUAGAACAGGGAGAGAGAAAACAAGUGAUUUAAAUGUCAGGAGUCUCUUUCAAACUGAUUCAUGUUAGAUUUAAAAAACACUGGUGACAAUUCUGUAGUUUCUUUGGAACCAUGGUGGGAGCUUGUAAAGGUUCACAACAGGGAGGUGUAGGGGCUUGUGCUAAUAUCUGCAGGUAUCUGCUUGUGUGAUGUUAAGUAAUUUAAAUGUUCAGGGGCAGAAUUGACAGAAAAUCCUGGAGUGAGCUUUGUUGCAGCCCUAUGGAAACUUUUUUAUUGCAAUUUUAUGUAAAAUAUAGGAGGCUCUGUGUUGAAUUACUGAUUACCUUUCUUGGACAUAAUCCUGUCUUUCCAAGAAUAUGCAGAGGCAGAUGGAAACCAGUGUUACUCAUCACUGUCGGCCUUUUCUCUUACUUCCAGGUCUUUACUUGCUGUGACUCCUCCUUUUGCAAACAUCAACAAUGGCAGCAGUGUUCGUAAGAUCCCAGUGUGGGGCAAGAGCAUGUCUGCUGUGUCCUAAAGCAGCAGAAGACACGCUCCACUGUGGGUCUGUGGGUUGGCACAAGGUAAUCAAUGAGAGUCAUGAAAUUGGGCUGUUGUGGUGAGAGGAAAACAAGACUAUUUUCCAUUCAGACACCCAAAACAUGCUCCUAAUGUAUACAACAACAAAUCACUGAUCAUUCCUGAGAGCAAGCCGGAAGACUGUAGUGGAAAGCACUGCUCCAUGUGGGCCAGAGUUGGAUACCUCAAUCAGCAACAGAGAUCCUCCUUGAAAUACCAGAGUGUUCCACUGUGCAUGCAGUCAUUUCAACUCAGCAGACUCUUUUACUGGAUUCAGAGCAAGGAAGCAGUAUGAGCUCCGAUUCUGCGUGUUGCAAAGGGGAAGUGGUUCCUGUGCCUGUUGUUCUCCUGGGUGAUGGUUGGUGUGAAGGAACAGAGAAGGAAAAAGAUGAGGCAAAACUGCCAAGAAAGAUGUGUGAAGAUGAUCUAAGUUGGCAGAUACCUUUUUCAGAAGACAGGAAGUGGGGAAUUGCAUGGAAUUUUUUUGCGGGGACCAAAGGUGGCUGUAUUUGCAUCUUGAAUUGUAGCACUAGAGGUUGGAUUAGACUUCAGAUGAAUCAAAAACCUUUGAGAGACUUGAAGCCUUCAAACCACACCCAAAACAACUUUAUGUAACAACUCUACCUGUUCUCAGUGCCUCUUUCUUCCCCCUUGCCUCUCACUGUUUGAAAUUUUUAUUCGUUGUGUCUUAGUUUUGCUUAUAUUGUAAGGACGAGGACUAACUUUUGUGUCUAGGCAGAAUCUGGUCUAGCAGCCCAGUGCAUCUUACUGCAAUACAGAUAAUUACUGCUAUUAAUCAAAGUUCCCACAACUUCCUGAAGCAUCUGCUUUCCAAGCAGUAAUGGGGCUGUUACUGUAUGUUCUUUCAGAAGAUGCCCUCUCUUCCUGAAUGUCUUAGUUGAGAGCUCUAGUCUUAAAAAAUGCAUUGAAUUUUUCCAUCUAUGUAAGAGAUUCACACUCCAUUCUUCCUCAGCUUUAAGAUGAAGGUGGUAUGAAGCUGGUCAUGCUGCAGUAUGAGAAGUCAACUGUCUGCCAAGAAACAUUGAUUAUUGCUGCUUUUUAAAGUGUAACGAUUUACCAAACAGAUGAUGCAAGAUCUGUGCGCAUCUAAGUGCUGUGUUUCUCUAAGGCAGUGAGAUAGAAGAGGAAGAUACCAUUUCAGACUGAGUUAGCACUUUUUCUUUCCUACAGUAUAACUUCCAUUUUCUUUGCAAAUCUCAAUAAAGCAGUUACCCUGAAAGUAUAUUCUUCCACAUAUUUUCAAAAAUGCUGUCUAAGAAUUAGGAAAUACACCUACUCUUUUGCAUUAGAAAUACCUUAUAAAGGAUUAUGAACUCUUGAGUGAGGAACUGACUAAAAUGACCAGGAGGAAAAAAACACAGUUUGGAUGAUACGCAUGGGAGGUUUGCCUUUUUCAGGUCUGUAUCUCAGGGAGAGACUGGCAGAGUCCUCAGUAUUGGAACCUGAGAAAAAUUCUUUGUCACCAGAAUGCUUCUAGGUGUCAGAGUACAGAGAGGAUCAGUCACAGCUUUGUGCAAGUACAAGUCUGUGGGGAUUCCCAUAGAAAAGUGGUAAAGAUUUGGGGAGUUCUUUGUACAUUCAGGCUUUUCUGUUUGCUCCUUCUACUUCUUAAUUUUGUAUUCCAUGGCAACGUGUAGCAGCUCUGGAUCCUACUCAUAUCUUCAGUUUGGGUGGAGAGAGAGAGCUGGAGUGGCUCUCUAGAGAGCAGAAUUACAAUAAGAUGUGGGAGGUUUUACAAGUGACCUGUUAGCUGCUUCCUCCCAUUCCUAAACCACCUCUACCUGGGAGGAAGUUUAAAUUGCUGCCUGGCUUGGCCAGGGCAACUCAUACCUGCAGCAUGAAGUCAAGAAGCAUCUUCCUGCUGGGGCUCCUCACCCUAUGGGCAGAGCUGCAGGCUGCACCCACAAAAGGCAAGUAUGGGCAUGUUUGAAACACUCACCUUUUGUAGAUUUUAGAGUAUUUUUUGUAUUUUCCAUGACAUGUGUUUAAGUAUCUGUUUUAAUUCUUAUAUGGA